GGGCCGCUAGCUCAUCGGGUAGAGCACCACCCUUUUAAGGUGGGGGUGCCGUGUUCGAGACACGGGCGGCUCACCA
RNAcentral lists this transfer RNA (76 nucleotides) under Candidatus Omnitrophota bacterium. RNAcentral's name for it is "tRNA-Lys". It matches the Rfam family "tRNA". From Rfam's summary of the family: Transfer RNA (tRNA) molecules are approximately 80 nucleotides in length. Lineage: Bacteria; Pseudomonadati; Candidatus Omnitrophota. The record is from RNAcentral.